AGACUGAACGCUGGCGGCAUGGCUAAAACAUGCAAGUCGAACGGACCCGCAAGGGUUAGUGGCGGAAGGGUGAGUAAUACUAUCGAAUGUACCCCGAGGUGGAGGAUAGGCAUGGGAAACUGUGCAUAAUACUUCAUGAUCUCGAGAGAGCAAAGCCGCAAGGCGCCUUGGGAGCAGCGAUAUUCCUAUCAGGUAGUUGGCGGGUAAUGGCCCACAAGCCGAAGACGGUAGCCGGUAUGAGAGUACGGCCGGCCACAUCGGGACUGAGACACUGCCCGGACUCCUACGGAGGCUGCAGUAACGAAUAUUCCGCAAUGGGCGAAAGCCUGACGGAGCAAUGCCGCGUGUGGGAUGAAGCGGUUUCGCCGUGUAAACCACUGUCAGGAAAUAGAAAAGAUGAUCAUUUACCGAAAGGAAGGGCGAACUAACUCUAGUGACCAGCCAAGGCCGAC
This 452-nucleotide ribosomal RNA is filed under the name uncultured soil bacterium. RNAcentral's name for it is "bacterial SSU rRNA". It matches the Rfam family "Bacterial small subunit ribosomal RNA", at positions 26 to 522 of the family's 1533-position model. The record is from RNAcentral.